GGAGGGAUACCAAAGUGGCCAAAUGGGGCGGACUGUAAAUCCGUUGCGGAAUGCUUCGAAGGUUCGAAUCCUUCUCCCUCCACCA
RNAcentral lists this transfer RNA (85 nucleotides) under Alicyclobacillus hesperidum. RNAcentral describes it as "tRNA_Tyr_GTA". It matches the Rfam family "tRNA". From Rfam's summary of the family: Transfer RNA (tRNA) molecules are approximately 80 nucleotides in length. Their secondary structure includes four short double-helical elements and three loops (D, anti-codon, and T loops). Lineage: Bacteria; Bacillati; Bacillota; Bacilli; Caryophanales; Alicyclobacillaceae. RNAcentral also lists the same sequence under 1 other name. The record is from RNAcentral.